Molecule: long non-coding RNA, 162 nt
Organism: Pan paniscus (pygmy chimpanzee)
Lineage: Eukaryota; Metazoa; Chordata; Mammalia; Primates; Hominidae
Source: Ensembl
GUCCAAGAUGGUCCAUUAUACCAGACUCUACAUUUUUGCAUAAGUAAACUUUCCUCUUAUAAAUUUCACCAGUGUACUUGAUAUGUAAUGUAUCCUGAUGUACAGUCUCAUUUUAAUGGAUUGAUCUAUAUGGAUACUGAAGGAGUUAAGGACAUAAUACCC